AAAAUCCGUCGACUUUAGAAAUCGUGAGGGUUCGAGUCCCUCUAUCCCC
RNAcentral lists this transfer RNA (49 nucleotides) under Castanopsis calathiformis. RNAcentral's name for it is "partial tRNA-Leu". RNAcentral also lists the same sequence under 17 other names. Lineage: Eukaryota; Viridiplantae; Streptophyta; Magnoliopsida; Fagales; Fagaceae. The record is from RNAcentral.